RNAcentral lists this small RNA (116 nucleotides) under Marmota monax (woodchuck). Lineage: Eukaryota; Metazoa; Chordata; Mammalia; Rodentia; Sciuridae. The record is from RNAcentral.
GCUGGGUAUGAGAGUGUGUACCUGUAGUCCCAGCUAGUCAGAGGCCAAAGCAAGAGGGUCAUUUGAACACAGGAGUUGAAAGCCAGCCUGAGCAACAUAGUGAGACCCUGUCUUAA